GACCCCGUCGCUGCAGCCUCGCCGCUCGGCAGGCAAAGCCGACCCUCUUUCUCGCGGGCCGAGCGCGAGUGCCUCUCAGGCUAAAGGGGCACCUGGUGACGCUCAAGAAAGCCAGGCGGCAGAGACACGUGGUGGGCGCUUCCGCCUCGAGCUCUUCGGAGAGCCGCGCGCACGAGGAAAAUCUGAGACGUCGCCCAGGGUCGAGCCGUUCCGCUACUUCCUCGUGCCUGCAAAGUUUUCCUCGGUUCCGCCCCCUCGGCGGUCCUCCUUUACGAGCUCGCCUCUCCUCGCUUCGGCUGUACUUCGGACGGCGAGAGGCAGGAAUGCACCGGCAGGUCCAUCCUGGCUUCGGACGUGCUACGCUCGGCGCGGUUCUUCGGCCGAGCCAACGAAGCUGAGACGAAAGAACAAGGAGCCGGAACGCUUCAAAAAUGCAGCAUUGAUCCAAAGGCAGCUGCUGAUCUCCAGAUCUUGCUGAAACUACUGAAUUCUGCAUAAUGAUGUCGUUGGGACACUUAAGCAAGGGAGUCAGCCUUGAUGAACUUAUUGAUACCUGUAUUGAUUCUUUUGAUGCAGAUGGAAACUUGUGUAAAAAUUACCAGCUCCUGUCAGUAAUGUUAACCAUGCAUCGACUUAUCAUCUCCUCCUCUGAGAUACUGCGAAAACUAAUAGAUCUAUAUCCUUUUAUAUUU
Long non-coding RNA from Ahaetulla prasina, 692 nucleotides. RefSeq lists it as uncharacterized. The transcript is spliced from 3 exons. The record is from RefSeq and is a predicted model, not a curated record. Lineage: Eukaryota; Metazoa; Chordata; Lepidosauria; Squamata; Colubridae.